RNAcentral lists this ribosomal RNA (1401 nucleotides) under uncultured bacterium. RNAcentral describes it as "bacterial SSU rRNA". It matches the Rfam family "Bacterial small subunit ribosomal RNA". The record is from RNAcentral.
GAGUUUGAUCAUGGCUCAGGAUUAACGCUGGCGGCGUGCCUAACACAUGCAAGUCGAGCGGCAGCGAGUUUUACACUGAAUUCUGGAAGCUUCUAGUUGAAAGAGAAGAUUUAUUCAAGAAUUUUGUGUAAAAUGUCGGCGAGCGGCGGACGGCUGAGUAACGCGUGGGAACGUACCCCAAAGUGAGGGAUAACGCAUCGAAAGGUGUGCUAAUACCGCAUAUGGUCUUCGGAUUAAAGCCUUCGGGCGCUUUGGGAACGGCCUGCGUAAGAUUAGAUAGUUGGUGGGGUAAUGGCCUACCAAGUCGACGACCUUUAACUGGUUUGAGAGGAUGAUCAGUCAGACUGGAACUGAGACACGGUCCAGACUCCUACGGGAGGCAGCAGUGAGGAAUCUUCCACAAUGGGCGAAAGCCUGAUGGAGCAACGCCGCGUGCAGGAUGAAGGCCUUCGGGUUGUAAACUGCUUUUAUAAGUGAUGAUUAUGACAGUAACUUAUGAAUAAGGAUCGGCUAACUACGUGCCAGCAGCCGCGGUCAUACGUAGGAUCCGAGCGUUAUCCGGAGUGACUGGGCGUAAAGAGUUGCGUAGGUGGUUUAAUAAGCGAAUAGUGAAAUCUGGUGGCUCAACCAUUCAGACUAUUAUUCGAACUGUUGAACUCGAGAGCAGAAGAGGUAGCUGGAAUUUCUAGUGUAGGAGUGAAAUCCGUAGAUAUUAGAAGGAACACCGAUGGCGUAGGCAGGCUACUGGGCUGUUUCUGACACUGAGGCACGAAAGCGUGGGGAGCGAACCGGAUUAGAUACCCGGGUAGUCCACGCCGUAAACGAUGGAUACUAGCUGUUUGGGGUAUCGACCCCCUGAGUAGCGAAGCUAACGCGUUAAGUAUCCCGCCUGUGGAGUACGAUCGCAAGAUUAAAACAUAAAGGAAUUGACGGGGACCCGCACAAGCGGUGGAUCAUGUUCUUUAAUUCGAUGAUAACCGAUAAACCUUACCAGGUCUUGACAUCCUUGGAAUCUUUCAGAAAUGAGAGAGUGCUUUUUAAGAGCCAAGUGACAGGUGAUGCAUGGCCGUCGUCAGCUCGUGUCGUGAGAUGUUUGGUUAAGUCCAUCAACGAGCGCAACCCUUGUCAGUAGUUGUAUUUUUCUACUGAGACUGCCCCGGUAACGGGGAGGAAGGAGGGGAUGACGUCAGGUCAGUAUUUCCCUUACGUCCUGGGCUAGAAACGUGAUACAAUGGCUAGUACGAUGCGCAGCGAAGCCGCGAGGUGAAGCAAAUCGCAUCAAAGCUAGUCCCAGUUCGGAUUGUAGGCUGAAACUCGCCUGCAUGAAGUCGGAAUCGCUAGUAAUCGCAGAUCAGCAUGCUGCGGUGAAUACGUUCCCGGGUCUUGCACACACCGCCCGUC